RNAcentral lists this long non-coding RNA (676 nucleotides) under Gallus gallus (chicken). Lineage: Eukaryota; Metazoa; Chordata; Aves; Galliformes; Phasianidae. The record is from RNAcentral.
GGCGGCCUCGCCUCACGGCCUUCCCGUGCUACCCCCGUGCCCGGGAGAUGCCCGCACGUCUCCCCGGGCCCGCCUGAUGCCCAAGAGACGACCCCCGGCCCGCCCCGCCUCUCGCUGAGGCAGUACCCCGGCCGAGCCGCCAGAUGUCAGCACGAGGCUUUGUGCCUCGCUCCGCUCUCAGUGACUGCUCCAGUCGCCAAAUAGCACGAAGCUUUCCCGUACAAUCCCAGGCCCUGCUUCAGCCCAUCCGCCUCUCCCGCUCAGAAGACUUUUUUGGAAGUAUAUGAUGAGCAACCAUUGAGAUUGGAUGGAAAGCAUCAGCAGCACCAGGAAACUCUUGGCAUAUGGAUAGUCUGUUGAUAUCCAGAUGCCAUCCAGUGAAAGGGGAAGUGCAUGAAUCCAGGGGAGGCAAUGCAUGCAGCAGCUGCGCAGCUAUCAGAUCCCAGCCCUCUGCGAGCAGAAUCUGUCCUCCUCAGGGGAGUAAAUUUGCUCCCCCCACGUAAGUCUUUCAUGAACAGAUGCAGCAAUAAACACAAAACAGGAAUCUGAAGGUCUUUUCACGUUUCUUGUAGCUGAAAAGCAGAAGUACCAAAUCACAUUAGGUGACGCAGCUCAAAUAAACGCUGUUGCAAAGGAAGAAGAGCACAAAAUCAAUCUUAUUUCUCCAGCCGGGAAA